Xenopus laevis (African clawed frog) is the source of this 1673-nucleotide long non-coding RNA. RefSeq lists it as uncharacterized. The transcript is spliced from 6 exons. NCBI's taxonomy places the organism in Eukaryota, Metazoa, Chordata, Amphibia, Anura, Pipidae. The record is from RefSeq and is a predicted model, not a curated record.
UCUCUUUAAGGAAUACUAAACUGAUGCCUAAAACUUUAGAAUAUCUGAAUCGGACACAUUAAAUCGACUGCUCAUUAUGCCAGAAGGGAAACACUACUUGGAAGCACAAGAACGUUUCUGGAACUUAAAAAAGCCUUCCCUAUCUGUUCCUCCUCCUCUCUGGACUACCGGCCAGCUGAAGAUUCCAGGGCAACUGUUCUAUACACUGCUGCCUAGCAACGCUGGAAUUCCCACAUUGUGUUCCAAGCCUCACUAUGGCGCUGGUUGGUUGAUAUCAGUAAGCCCCGCCCAUCGCCGAGGAGCAGGAGCUGCACGUGGAGCAGGUGAGGGGGAGGUGGCUGUAAAGUUGCAGAUGGGAAUAUUGGGGACAAGAGAAGAUAUUGGAGGACACAGAAGGGAUUUUCGGCUGCAGGAGAAGAUUCUUUUUCGGGGUCUCAGCCAGAGAAGAACAAGUGACAUUGGUAUAAAACAUCCCAACACUCUUAGUUCUCAGUUUGGAGCGGGACCUCUUGGAACUGCGUUAUAGAAUGAAAGAAAAUUGCUCCCUGCCAAUGUUUAACCUUGAUGACGCUCCUGACCCAGUUGCCAAGGAUCAAGUAGUCUGAGAGUCAGAUUUGCUAUUAAACUCCAUGGAUCGCAGUGACGCCAAACUCAAUGGGCAGUUGGAAGCCUCAUUCCCCCGCUGUUUCCGUCAUGGUUAAAGUUACUGAUCAACUCGCAGUUCAAGAGCUCAAGUGGUCGAUGCCCGAGGAGGGCCCAACCUGAAAGCAAUGAGGAUACGUCCCAAAAAGAUCCGACCCUUUGCCUCGCGAAGGCAUCAAAGCAAGCAGGUGGCGGAGCUGAAGAGCGGUAUCUCAAGUCUAUACUGUGGAGCAUCGAGCACCUCCCCAGAGCAUUCCUUGUCCUGCAGCAAUCACUCCCAUACUGACACCGACACUGAACUCUGCAUCCAGCACCGACUCCGGCUUCUCUUUCCUACACCCCGCCUACUGGAAAAGUGACUACAGUUUGACAUUUCAGCAGCUAUCUGGUUGCUAGGGUACUGCUUAUCCUUAACAACCGCCCAUCGGUUUUAAUGAGUGGCUGGAAGGUGAAUAGGGACAAUGACCAUUUAGCCUCACAAAGCUGCUGGGGUCGGUGACCCCGUUGGGACUCUGAUAAGAAGCAGAAGACCAGUUGAAAGGUUGCUAAGAAGAGGACUUUCUAUAACAUACUUAUGGUUAAUGUAAAGCAGCACUGGCCCUUUAAAGAAGUGGAUCCCAUGGGGCAGACUGUAAUAUGUGUAAUAUUAAAUGCAUGGGGUUUACUGUACACGCCACGUUGUGCCUCAAUAUGCAGAGGGUGCCUCUAAAUAAAGGGGGGGGAGCCUUUGUUAGCAUUUAUUAAGCUAUUAUUUAUACUUCCCCUUUAUCCUGUGAACCCAAAUCCUCCUCAUUAGGGUUGGACUCAGUGUGUAUAUAUACAGUAUAUUCAGGCAGCUAUUAAUACUUCUGGAUACUGGAAGUAUGGGAGAUUUCUUUGGGGUGUAUGAGACCCCCCUGAAUCUUUUAACCGUCUAAUCUCCGUGUGAGAUUUGUGACGCUCAUGUUUGUACAUGGAUGUUUUAUAAUGAAGAUUUUGUACCUCUGUAUAGGGAUUAUUAUUCUUUCUACAAUAAACGUUAUAUACUUGUA